Molecule: small nuclear RNA, 304 nt
Filed under: Erinaceus europaeus (western European hedgehog)
Lineage: Eukaryota; Metazoa; Chordata; Mammalia; Eulipotyphla; Erinaceidae
Description: 7SK RNA
Rfam family: 7SK RNA
About the family: 7SK was discovered as an abundant small nuclear RNA in the mid-70s but a possible function has only recently been suggested. Two independent studies have found that 7SK RNA binds the CDK9/cyclin T complex (known as elongation factor P-TEFb).
Source: Rfam by way of RNAcentral
GGAGGGCGAUCUGGCUGUAACAUCUGUCACCCGAUUGAUCCAGGGUUGAUUUGACUGAUCUGGCUGGCUAGGCGGGUGUCCCCUUCCCUCACUGCUCCAUGUGCAUCCCUCCCGAAGCUGUGUGCUCAGUCGAAGAGGAUGGCCUUCCCCAAAUACAGACUGACCCGACCCGGUCUUUAGUCUUAGCUUGAGGGUAUUCGAGUAGCUGCACUUCCCUGCUAGAACCUCCAAACAAGCUCUCAAAAAAAGUAAUUUCACUUUGUGUUUCUUACAGAUUAACAACUGAUUUUCAAUGUCUGGCUUU